UUUGCAAAUCAGAAGGAAUAAUAAUUUAUUAAACCUAAUUAAUUGUCUGAAAUCAACUAGUUCUUUAUAUAAAACGUAAAAACUAUAUUUAUGAAUUUUUUUCUAAAAUAUUUAUUUUAGUGAAAUGGAAGGAGUAAAAUUUAAAAAGACAAGAGAAAAAAUUGAUGUAAAAGACCGAAAUUCGCAGCUUGGCAGUAUAUGUACUGUCACUAAUUAUAAGUUUAGAUAUUUCUUAUGUAAUAAAAUCAUUGGCAGGGGCAAUUCAAAAUAUAAAAAAAAAGAACUUAACGAAAUUAUAUACAAGCUCAUAGGGAAAAAAAUUGUUUAUAACAUUUUGGAAUAAGAAACUGCAUUCGAAAUUUAGUUUUAUAGGUUCUAAUAUAAAACAGAAACAAGUGGGUGGUAUUGUUUCAGUCGACAAAAAAAAAAGUGGGAAGUCUACCAAUACUUGUACAUUUUUUACUUAUAUUAUAUUGCACGUUAAAUAGUCUAGAUUAACUACUUUGAAAUUUAUCUAUCAAAAAAAAAAUUAUCCACCAGGAGCUUUGUCCCUCAAAUAUUUACUUAAGUGAUACACACAUAUGGCAUAUCACUUUCUAUUUUUCUUUUGACAAAACAAUUGAAAUAAAGUAUAGUUUGGGGUGUAACAACAGUUGGGAUGGUGCUGGUGACUAUUGACUAAGGCUGUCAAUGGUUGUUGAAUUUUAAGUACGUUUGAAGUGGUUGUAACGUAUCGAACAUCCUUAUUUCACCAUGUUAAGAAAAGAGUAUUUAUAGUUGACAAAAAGAAAAGAUGAAAAGAGUAUUUAUAUAAAAAUGCAAUAAUAUUAAAUAAUAAAUGACUUUUGCCUUUUCGUUUCGGAUGAUGACAAUCUGUUUUCACCUUUAAUCACUUGGAUUGAAACCGCGCGCCCCGCGGCUGUUUUGUUUCAUUUUAUUUGUUUUAAACAUUUCAGAAUGUUGCUAAAAAAACAUUUUAGAAUGCACAUAUUUAUAUGUUUGUAACAUUCUUGAUUGCCCUCAAAUUUUUUGUUCAUGUUUCGCUAAUGAACUUAUUUCUUAAUGGGAAUUUUUUUUUUCUUCAACUGUGUGUAACCUUGCUCUUUUUAUUUUGACAAAUUAAACACUAAUACAAACCAUAUUUACGUUUUAAGUAUACUCUUUAUUUUAUUAAAUCUAAAGAUGUUUAUUUGAAUUUGAAGUUUGUAUCUAAAGUUCAAAUUUUAUUCUUUAAGAAUUUAGAUAUAAUUUACAACAAUAUAAUUCAAUGUUAUAUGUUUUGAUUGUUUAGAUAUAUGUAUAAAUUAGUUGUAAAAUUAGGUAGUUUGUAUAUGAUUAAAUGUGAUAAAAUUAUAGUAAUACUUAAAUAAACUUAGGUAUAUCUUUGAAAAUUAUUUAUAUUAGAAUGUAUAUUUUAAAAUUCGGCCAAAUAAAAGAGAAAUUGUCAAACAUUGUGGACCUCGUUCAUUUGUAAUGGCCAAACCCAAUUUUUUUUUUCUGGGGAAAAAACAGAAAGUAGGUUACCAUCGGUUUCGUUAUAAUGACUUCCAUUCUUUACUUUGAAUCUCUCUGUCUCUGUCUUGUCUCUUUAUCUUCACCGGAUCCCUUGCUCACCGAUCCGAUUUAUGAAACGCUUUAGAAAUAUGGCUAUGAUUGUAUAAUUAAUCAGAUAGCUAUUAUUACAUUUUGAGUUUAAACGCUUAGUUUCUUCUAAUCUAUAUUAUUUCUUCUUAUUUUUUUCAAGAAGAUUGUCUGAAGUUUGGAAUCAAAGACAUGAGAUCAGAUGAGCAAGUCCGAUAUGGUUACUAAACCCGAAACGAACAUCAUGCAUGUCUCAGAUUGGAGAGGGUUUUACUUUCAGAUAGAUAUAUAUUCUUCUUACACAAAUAAGAAUGUAAGAAGAAACCAACAACAAAAGCAAACAUCAAUUGUGUCAAAUGGAAGGAGAUCAUGCUUAUCUAUGUAUUACUUCAGUUGAUUGUAUCUGAACAAUAAGGCGGUUAGUAUACAAUCCUAAACUAAUUGUUUUACUUACGUUCUCAAACCAAAUCUGAUUUCGACCUGUGCAAAACUAUUAACAGGACCUUCAUAUAGAGAUACAUUAAAGUCAUUUAUUUUUUAAAAAUCUGGUUAAAAUUGAAAUCGUUUGUUAGGCUAGAUCGUUUGUGUAGUUUGGCAUCAUAUGAGGUUAAAAAGGAAAUAAUAAUAUUUUAUAAACAUUGUUCUAGUUAAGUUAUUCAAUUUGAUAUUUUGUUAGUUUCGUGUUGUUUGUUGGAUAUAAUGGUCUCAUAUGUUUUAUAGAAACAAUUGACUAAUAAGAAACUAUUUGUUAAUCUUUUUAUACAAUCAUCGUAUUAUGAUAUUAGCCUAUUUAAUGUUUGGCAUGAUAUUAGACGUUUUGAGAACCAAGUUACAUGAAUCCAGCUGCAAAAUGAAAACAACAGCCUUGCCGGAAAAAAAAAGAAGAACAUUGUUAGUAAUUACUUAUCUAUCCAAACUAAUUCAUGACCAUCCAGAAUUAGUUUUAAGAUUGAAAGAACCAUGCCUUAUCUAUAUAUGUUUAGUUUGCACUUGACUGAGUGAUGUAUAUCUGUGUUUAGUUAAUGAUGGACUUAUAUAACACCAAAAUAUAUAAAAAAAGCUUCAAAUGACCAAAGAGAAUGAAUAUAUUUGUCCAAAAAAAAAGACAAGCAUCUUAUUUAAAUGAAUUUUGAUGAUAAAAAAAGUUGUUUAUAAAGCUAAAUAAACAAUUUCAGAAGCAUACGAACCAGCCAGCAUUCUUCCACCAACAUGUGUGUAUUUCAAACCUGAAAAAACCUGAAGAAAAUUAUAGGUGAAGAAAGUGACUAUACGAAUGUAAUAAACGUUUGUAAACAUAAGAUACCAAUUGGUCUGCUAAAACAAUCUCGAAGGUAUCUCCUCCAAGUGAUGUGUGUUGCUUCCAUGAAUGUAAGAAUUUAACUUGAUAAUUACUAGUUUUUAAAAGGUAUGAGUUUUGUGAGAGGAGUAAGAACUGUAAUCUUAAGCAUGUUUAGGUUUUUCUGUGUAGAAUGAUUUGCUUUUUAUGCAAUAGAGAUGAUAUAUAUAUAUAUAUAUUUUUAUACAUAUACAUAUAGUUGGUUUUGGAAAGGGUAGGUAAAGUAAGAAAUUAUAACAAAAUAUUUGGUUAGUUAUAAUUUGAACGAAUUCAAAAGAGAAUUAUCGUUUUUCAAGAAUUUAAUAUACAUUUCUUUUAACUUUAAAUCAUAAUGAUAUAAAGAGUAUUGGAUUUUAAAGAUUAGUGAUUUGCAAGUUUUGUAAACAUAAUAAAAAUAUGGGAAAAUUGCCGAAAUAGAACAAAAAAACAACAUAGUUUUCCCUAUGGUAUAAAUCCAUUUUUUACCAUUUUUUCUCCCUUUUACCCUUUCCAUAUAUUAAAAUUAAUGAAAUAAAUAGUUUUAAGAAUCAAAAAAUUAUUAAAAUAUAAAUAAUUAAUAAAACACCCAUUUACACAAACACAUAUUUUUUGGGUUGAAAAACAUAAUAAAUGAUGUUUUCAAAUUACGUUCUACUAAAAGUAGAAUUCCGCUUUUACACAAAACGGGUAAGUAGAAAAUGAAUUCUAGAAUGAACAUAUCCAUCUACUUUGUUUAGAACGUACAAACUACUUUUUACUAUAACUCUAAAUAUGGGGAAUACGAAUUCUAUUACUUGUAAUGAUCGCUACUUUUAUUUAGAACGAUGUUUCUACUUUUAUGGUGUAUUCUAAGUUAUCAGGAAUGCAAAAUCUAAACCAUACACGAACGUCCACAUAGUGUAGAAAUUACAUUCUGGAAUUUUGUUAUGUUCUACACAGUGUAGAAUGUGCUUUCUACGGAUAAAAAAAAACUGUUUUUUCGAAAAUUAAAGAAGUUGCAGUUUUAAAAAUAUUCUAACUUCCUAAAACGUGUUUUCAUUGAUUUACUUCGUGAAAAAUAAAAAUAAAAACGAUUUUGAAUGUUCUUCUUCACCAAUCUAUGAUUUCCCCAUGAUUUCUCUAUAGUUUGUCUUGUGAUUUUCACAAACUCUUGUUCUAUGAUGCAUAUCUAUACAACAUGUGGUGUUUGGGAGUUUGGAGCAACCACGGGAUGGUUUUUUUUGGCUGAUGAGAAAGGGGCUAGGCUACUUUUAUUGGAAUCAAGUUCUACCUUAGAGGUUUUUAAAAGAAUGGUUUUAGAGAAUUUUGAUAUGGAAGAAGAUAGCUUACCCGAUUUGGAGUUGAGUUAUCUACCUACUGAGUUGAUCAAUACAUCAACAUGUCCACCUGUGAUCAUUGCAAAUGAUCGACAGCUUCAGAAUUUUGUUGGUUUUGUUCAAAAGUGUGUUUCUACUCGAUUGUGUGUAAGAAUCUGAAUGAACCAGACUUUGAUCUUAACAAGUCGCCAGCUGAUUCAAGUAUUGCUGAAGAGGAGGGAAACUCGGUUGAUAGGGGGAACGAACCAGCUCAUGUGUUUGUUGAGAGGCAGUGAGAGAAAAAGAAAGAAAAGAUUAGAAGAGUCGAAGUUGAUGAGGAUGCCUAUGAUGCUGAUACCAUGAUCUCGGCCAAAGAGGACAACCAUAAUAUGUCAAAGUUUUCUCUGCUCAAUGUUUUUAAGAAGGGACAAUUGUUUGAGAACAAAACUUUGCUGAAGGCCACUUUCGAGAUAUGUGCAAUGAAGCAUAAGUUUCACUACGAGGUUAUCAAAACAGAUAGACAGCUUUGGUAUGUUAGAUGUGAGGAUAAUGCAUGCAAUUGGUGUGUUCGAGCAGAGUGUUUGAAGGAUUCUGCAUAUUUCAUUAUCAAAAAGUAUGUCGGUGAACAUACAUGCGCACCUUCAAGCAAAACCAAACCGGGUAAAACUGCUUCGGCCAAAACUAUAGGCACUCUGAUUAUUAAACCAACAUUGAAUCAUUUUUUUUUAAAUACAAUUAAUUAUGUUUAAUGGGAUUAAUCAAAUGUUACUUUUGGUAUUAUGGAAAACAUUAUACUAUAGGGACAACUUGAGGUUGGAUUUAUACCAUAGGGACAACUAUGUUAUUUUUUUGUUCUCUUUCGGCAAUUUUCCCAAAUAUGUUGUGUUAAUUGAUUGAUAUCGUUUUUGUUAUGGUUAUUGCGUAGAAAAUAGGAGUAUUUUUUGGAAUGUUAUUGAGUUAAAGAAACUACGAAAUCAUAAUUAUAUAUAGAAUAUUCGUUUUAAAGAUAACACAUAUGUGAUUUGAAAGUUUUGUAAAAAUAACAAUAAGAUUGUGUUAUGUGCUUGGUAUCGUUUUUAUUAAAUAUUUUUACGUACAAAUAAGAGUAUUUUUGAAAUGUUAUUAAGUUAGUGAUGUUAUGGUUAGCGAUAAAUGUAAAACGUCUGUGUCUUAAGGCAACGGCAUAGGAUGGUAAUUUUUUAGGAAAAGUCAGGGUUAUUUUUUUUUGUACUUCUGUUUUAAUAGUUUAAAUUUGUUGACCUCAAUUUACAAACCAUGUAUUUCACCAUUCUGCAAAUAAAAUGAUAAAUUCAGACAAUUACACAGACAUUCAAAUCUUUCCCACAUAAACCUAUUCACAAUUCAUUCCCAUUUUAAAAGAAAAGAAUAC
This is a long non-coding RNA of Brassica napus (rape), 5581 nucleotides long. RefSeq lists it as uncharacterized. The record is from RefSeq and is a predicted model, not a curated record. Lineage: Eukaryota; Viridiplantae; Streptophyta; Magnoliopsida; Brassicales; Brassicaceae. The transcript has 2 exons.